This is a long non-coding RNA of Orcinus orca (killer whale), 5296 nucleotides long. RefSeq lists it as uncharacterized. The transcript has 4 exons. The record is from RefSeq and is a predicted model, not a curated record. Lineage: Eukaryota; Metazoa; Chordata; Mammalia; Artiodactyla; Delphinidae.
AAGGGGGAGGUAGAGAAGUGACUCUACCCCGCUGAGCCUGGGCCUGCAGCGGCAACCGCAGACCCUCCCGAGGAAGCGGAGGGUGGAGCGGAGCACGCUCCCGGAGUGGUGGUCAGCCGGCUUUGCAAGGCAACUCUGAACCUAACCGCCCUGGAUUCUGUGCCCUGCCGCGCCCACCUUCCACCUUCGGCCGUCUUCCUUCCACCCACUUCUCAGCACACUGAGCAAAAGCCAGCACAUUCAUGGGGCCAACUGAUUCUUCAUUUAGACAGGGAGUUUUUGUUAAGAGGUCUUGCGAGGAAGCUGGGGCGCACAGACAGGUGGUGACCGGCCCAAAGUGGCGUAACUGAUCUACCCGGCACUUGUCAUACCACAAGGCUUGUGGGAUCUUAGUUCCCGGACCAGGGAUCGAACUCGCACUCCCUGCAGUGGAAGUUUGGAGUCCUAACCGCUGGACUGCCAGGGAAGUCCCAGGAGUUGGAUAUUGAAGGAAGUGGAUGUGGACAGAUGAAGAGAGAAGGAGACCUUCAAGGCAGGAGCGUCCGUUAGAGAUACAGCCAGAGGCACAGGAACAGCUGCAACCUGUGUGAGAGAAGAGGUCGCCCCUGUGAAGCCAACAGAACUGCAGUCUGGUCUGGGUCUUGCCGCCAGCCAGCCCUGUGACCUCGAGCUUGUCCCUUCCUCUCUCUGGACUUUGGUAAUUCUAUUUGUAAAAUAAGGAGUUCAACUAGGUCGGCAUUUUCUAAACUGUGGUUUUGCAAUCCAUUACAAGAUGGUGAAAUAAAUUUAGUGAGUCAGAACCAGAAUUCAAAAAAAAAAAGGAAAGCAACUAUAUCAGAAUCAGAGCAUUGCACAUAGUAGAAAUAAGUAGUACAUAAAGAAAUGAGUGGCACAGUGGUUAAGAAUCUGCCUGCCAAUGCAGGGGACACGGGUUCGAUCCCUGGUCCGGGAAGAUCCCACAUGCCGCAGAGCAACUAAGCCCACACGCCACAACUACUGAGCCUGCACUCUAGAGCCUGCAAGCCGCAACUACUGAAACUGGCGCGCCCCACAGCCCACGCUCCGAAAGAAGAGAAGCCACCGCAAUGAGAAGCCUGUGCACUGCAACGAAGAGUAGCCCCCGCUUGCCACGACUAGAGAGAGUCUGCAUGCAGCAACGAAUACCCAAUGCAACCAAAAAAAAAGAAAAGAAAAAAAAAGACAUGGGGGAAAAAUUAGUGCAAUCUGCCUGAUGGUCCCUGAGGGAGUUUGCACGUUGAGGUGUUGGCAUUUCAGGAGCUUGAUGUUUCUGAGGACAUUUGGGACAAAAUACUGGAAACCGUGAGUCCACGAUAUCUGAAAAUCCAAUACAUAAACAGAUGGAUUCAUUUAAUCCCUCCUUCUGCAAAUAAGGAAACAGCAAACCGGAGAGAAGGCAACAGGCCAAGGUGACACAGUGGGUUAGAACCCAUUCUUGGUCCACUGAAUGGUGGUGUCUGCUGGGGGGUGCGUGGGAUUGUGAGGGUGUAGGAAGAGGUGGUAUUUCAGAAGGCCAACUAACGAGUCCUCUGGGAAGGUAGCUGCCUGCUCAAAAAGCCUGCACACUUAAAAUAAAACAGCUCAGCCUGGCUCCCCUCCGUCAAAGAAGGCGGCCCCGCCCCUGCCCUGCUGGCUAAUUCCUUGGCAGUCACAUUAGUUAAAACUGGGUUAACCCUUGACACCCGGCCCAGCUCCAGGGAAGGACGCAGACCCCAGUCUCACUCCCUCCAUGGCCCCAGCAGAGAUAGAAUGUUAAACAAGGAAAGGUGAACCCACAAGCUAACUAUUUUUAGUCCAAGAAUUGGUUGCCAGGGACAUUAAGCUCAUUCCCUGCCGUAUAUCAAGGAAGCGACAGUGAAGAUGUUUGCAAGGGUCUAAUUGCGGAGAUUUAUUGUAAAAUGCAGCUCAUCAGCUCCAUGCCCGGGUUCAAUCUCCCAGCUCUGGGUAUCUGAGCUAUUUGCUGAUUGCUUGGGUGGAGGGGAAGGGAGUGGGGUGCAGAAGGGGCAGGUGCUGUGCCCUGGAACCCUGGGCAAUCCUCAGCUGACCUUGUGCGAAGAGUCCUUGAGCCCAGGAGGAAGUAGAGAAGUUAAAACAGACGGGCCAAGCAGGAGGGGCUGGGGCUGCUGCGCCCCCAGUCAGCAAGACUCAACCUUGACUUUCUUUGUGCCUUCAGAUCUGGAAAAGCCUCCUGUGGGGACCACGCUGACAGCUUUCACUCUUGCCCAUGGACCACAGUACAGGAGGCUGCAGACUUGGGUUAUAGCAGGAUGGGUCAGUUAGACAGAAGGAGGACCCCCUUGACAUGAAAGUGAUUGAUGCAGGCAGAGGCAACAACGUCUGGUCUUGGUGCUGGUUGUUCUUCUGCGAAAAUGAGGGGGGGCGAGGAGAGCAAACACCUAGCAGAGCCCACUCUGUGCCAGACACACUGGGGGCACCUGGACAGAGUGUUAUUUAAUCCUCUGCAGAGGAGGACUCUGGGUCCACUGCACAUUGCAUAGAUAGGGAAACUGAGGCUCAGGUGAAGAGAGUAACCUAAGGUCACAUGGCAGCCAGAGGAGCAAAACUGGAAUUUUAAGCAGAAUGUUUUCAACUCCAGAGCUCUGCUUACUGACCUAGGAUCCUAGGAGCUGCAAGGAGGGGGUCCUUUCCCGCUUUGUUCCUCCAUACCUGGAAUUCUGGGGCAAAAAGACAUCCAUCCAUCCAUCCACUCAACAAAUGUACCAAGUGCUGCAGCAAGCCUCUGGAAUACAGAAAUAGAACAUGGCGUCUGCCCACAAGGAGCCCACGUGGAGAGGUCGUUUCAUCUAGCCCCCUGCCUCUCCUCAUCCUCUCCAAAGAGGGCACUCUGCAUUGCAAACAGCUCAAUAAAGGAAGGGCUGCACACUUCCCUGUGUCAGGAAGCUUUAGGAAGCUUCUGUCAUCCCAGGUAAGGGGUAGGGGAAGGACGGCUUGGACUCUCGGUAUCUUGGGGGAAGACUGGACUCAGGCCUACUUUCCUUAUUUAGAAACGUGGACUAAUGAUGCAGAACCACCUUAUGGGAAAGCUAAAUGAGAAAAGGAAGGUUGAACGCCGCUGGCCAUGGGUUCAACUUUCCUGAGACGAGCUAAAGUUGGGUUGAUCAUUAUAGCAAAACUCUGUGAUCAGGCAUCCAGGUAUAUGGUUAUUCUUUACAAUUAUUUUUAAGUUGUAUGUGUAUAUAUAUAUAUAUUUUUUUAAUAGCUACCACAGAGCUUGCACAUGAUGCAGAAAUCAAAAGGUGCACAGGAUAUAGCCUGAAAAUUUCCUUCCCUUCCCUGCUCUCAGCCUCCUAAUUCCUCUUUCCAGAGGCUCCACGGUUAUCAGUUUCCUGACAGAGAUCGCCUGUCUAUCUACAUAAACAAGCAAUUAUGGCUGUAUAUUCUUUUUGUUUCAAACAUGAUUUUGUUUCAUACAAACAUGAUUUUCUGUACCUUGCUUUCUUCCACUUAAUUUAUCUUGGAGAUUUUUCCAAAUCAGCCCAUAAAGAGUGUCCCCAUUCAUUCCUUUUCCUGGCUGCAUAAUAUUCCAUGUGUUAGAUGAACCAUGGUCUACUUAUCUUGUCCCCAGUGAUGGACAUUUAGAUGUUUCUCAUCUUUGGCUCUUAUCAGCAGUGCUGCUAAAAAAUAACCUUGUUCAUAAAUCUUUUGGCAUUUAUAAGAGUAUAUCUACAGGAUAUCAUGUCCAUGGCCCAUGAACGUGUGCAUUUAUAAUUUUGAUACUUGCCAAAUGUAUAAUUUUGAUUAUUGCCAAAUCAUCCUCCAGAUAGAUUGCAAAAUUUACAGUGUCUUAGGGUGGGUUUUCCCAGAGGCAGACCCUGGGCUAAGGAUUUAGAACAGGUAGUUUAUUUGGGGGGUGAUCCCAGGAAGCUCUAGUAGGGGAGUGGGGAAGGAAGCUGAGCACGUAACCCCAGUGGUGACUGGAGCUUAAUCCCACGGAGGAAACUGGGGAGCCUGUGUGGGGUGCGUGUCUCAGCGUUAUCCUAGUGGGGGUGUGAGCGUGAGAUUCCUCCAGAGACAUGGGUGUCCUGUUGCCCUACUCCUUCACCAAAGGCACGUGGCUCUUCUGCAAGCCCAGUCCUCUUUCCCUUAAUACCCCUCCCCUCACCCCACCCUGCUGCCCUACCCCAGGCUGACACCUGAUCAUCUGCCCCUGCAGGAUCCCUCCCAGCUGCUGAGCCCUAGAAAAGGUCCAGAAGCAUGUCUGGGGUAACUCGAUGCUAAGCUCCCUAAAAGGAAACUACCCCUGGCUCUUCCGUUGUGCCCCGUUCCCACCUCCAGGCAUCAGUACAAAAAGUACCCACUCCAGGGCUUCCCUGGUGGCGCAGUGGUUGAGAGUCCGCCUGCCGAUGCAGGGGACACGGGUUCGUGCCCCGGUCCGGGAGGAUCCCACGUGCCGCGGAGCGGCUGGGCCCGUGAGCCAUGGCCGCUGAGCCUGUGCGUCCGGAGCCUGUGCUUCGCAGCUGGAGAGGCCACAACAGUGAGAGGCCCGCGUACCGCAAAAAAAAAAAAAAAAAGGAACAGAGUAAAGUGGUAUGUGAGCAUCAUGGGGCACACACUGGUUAAUUCUCCCUGAGCGGGGAGUAGAGAAACACCACAGAGAACCUGAGGGCAUCUGAAGUGGGUUUCAAUGGAUAGGUAGGAGUUUUCCAGAGGGACCUCAAUGAUCCUUUCAGUAAGUCUAGCGCCAAAAUUCUAUUCCCCAGGCCACCUCAGCAUUUCCAAACUGCAUCCUACAAACUCUAGUAUCUUCAAGAUGUAAAUUCAGUGCCCUCAGGGGGAAAAAAAUGUUUCCAUGAUGGAAAAGGUUUGGGAAGCAAAGAGUUCAAAUUAAACAGUCUCCCUUGCUAUGGGACUCCUCAGACCCUUUACUGUACUCACUUCACUGUGAACGUCUGGGGAGGGGUUAGAGACUAAGGAUUUCCCUUCCUCCCUCUCCUCAUCUUGAAGAGUUCCAUGGAAUCCAGUUGGGAAGGUUCUCCUGGAGAUUUCCAGGUGAGCGCGGACUCCGGCACUCCACGGAGGCCUGGGCUGGCUCCCAGCCCCUGCCUGCCAUGCACAUGCUGCAGCUGACUAUCCAUCCAUCCAGACAGGCCUUUACAAGCCCAGUAUCUCCAGAGGGCUCUUGGCCUGCUUCCCUCCCCACCUACAGCCAGGCCGGAGGCCCCAUGCAUGCUAAACAGGCCUGCCCCUCAGUACGGUCCCAGGAUGGAGAGCUGCAGGCUAGUUGGAAAGCCGAGGAGGAAGGCGAAAGCGUCUUUCA